RNAcentral lists this ribosomal RNA (426 nucleotides) under uncultured bacterium. RNAcentral's name for it is "partial 16S ribosomal RNA". It matches the Rfam family "Bacterial small subunit ribosomal RNA", at positions 354 to 796 of the family's 1533-position model. The record is from RNAcentral.
GUGAGGAAUUUUCCGCAAUGGGCGAAAGCCUGACGGAGCAAUGCCGCGUGAAGGAUGAAGGCCUAUGGGUUGUAAACUUCUUUUCUCAGAAAAGAAUUAUGACGGUAUCUGAGGAAUAAGCAUCGGCUAACUCUGUGCCAGCAGCCGCGGUAAGACAGAGGAUGCAAGCGUUAUCCGGAAUGAUUGGGCGUAAAGCGUCUGUAGGUUGUUUAAAAAGUAUUCUGUCAAAGAUUAGGGCUUAACCCUAGAUAGGCAGAAUAAACUUUUAAGCUAGAGUUUGGUAGAGGCAGAGGGAAUUCCCGGUGGAGCGGUGAAAUGCGUAGAUAUCGGGAGGAACACCAAAGGCGAAGGCACUCUGCUGGGCCAAUACUAACACUGAGAGGCGAAAGCGAGGGGAGCAAAUGGGAUUAGAAACCCGAGUAGUCC